GACGAACGCUGGCGGCGUGCUUAACACAUGCAAGUCGAACGGAAAGGCCCUGCGUUUGUGGGGUGCUCGAGUGGCGAACGGGUGAGUAACACGUGAGUAACCUGCCCUUGACUUUGGGAUAACUUCAGGAAACUGGGGCUAAUACCGGAUAGGAGCUCCUGCUGCAUGGUGGGGGUUGGAAAGUUUCGGCGGUUGGGGAUGGACUCGCGGCUUAUCAGCUUGUUGGGGGGGUAGUGGCUUACCAAGGCUUUGACGGGUAGCCGGCCUGAGAGGGUGACCGGCCACAUUGGGACUGAGAUACGGCCCAGACUCCUACGGGAGGCAGCAGUGGGGAAUAUUGCACAAUGGGCGGACGCCUGAUGCAGCAACGCCGCGUGCGGGAUGACGGCCUUCGGGUUGUAAACCGCUUUCGCCUGUGACGAAGCGUGCGUGACGGUAAUGGGUCAAGAAGCACCGGCUAACUACGUG
This 468-nucleotide ribosomal RNA is filed under the name uncultured bacterium. RNAcentral's name for it is "partial 16S ribosomal RNA". It matches the Rfam family "Bacterial small subunit ribosomal RNA", at positions 28 to 507 of the family's 1533-position model. The record is from RNAcentral.